AGGGAACCUGUCAAUCUUGAUCACCAUU
RNAcentral lists this non-coding RNA (28 nucleotides) under Rattus norvegicus (Norway rat). The record is from RNAcentral. Lineage: Eukaryota; Metazoa; Chordata; Mammalia; Rodentia; Muridae.